GCCUGGAUAGCUCAGUUGGUUAGAUUGUAGUAUUAACAAUGGCAAGGUUGCAGGUUUGAUCCCUGCAUUGGGAUCU
This is a non-coding RNA of Podarcis lilfordi (Lilford's wall lizard), 76 nucleotides long. The record is from the annotation of a GenBank genome assembly. Lineage: Eukaryota; Metazoa; Chordata; Lepidosauria; Squamata; Lacertidae.